RNAcentral lists this ribosomal RNA (236 nucleotides) under uncultured bacterium. RNAcentral's name for it is "partial 16S ribosomal RNA". It matches the Rfam family "Bacterial small subunit ribosomal RNA", at positions 118 to 351 of the family's 1533-position model. The record is from RNAcentral.
UGAGUAACCUGCCCUUAAACUCUGGGAUAAGCCUGGGAAACUGGGUCUAAUACCGGAUAUGACUCCUCAUCGCAUGGUGGGGGGUGGAAAGCUUUAUUGUGGUUUUGGAUGGACUCGCGGCCUAUCAGCUUGUUGGUGAGGUAAUGGCUCACCAAGGCGACGACGGGUAGCCGGCCUGGAGGGGGUGACCGGCCACACUGGGACUGAGACACAGCCCAGACUCCUACGGGGAGCAG